CAACAGUUCGGCAUGCGAACCACAUAAGUCUAAUCUGUUCGGGGAAUCCCAUUUACCGAACCAGAUAAGGGAAAAGACAUGAACAAAGCCUUUUCACGGUCCUGAACCAGGUUUAACACAGGGGUCAUAGUCCCAGCAGGAGGCUGGCUAGCAGGCCCCUCCAGAAGCCCGUGGCGAGGCUCUGUUUGCCACACCCUCCAUUUAAUUCUGGACACCACAUCAUAAAGCUUUG
Molecule: non-coding RNA, 232 nt
Organism: Pelobates cultripes (western spadefoot toad)
Lineage: Eukaryota; Metazoa; Chordata; Amphibia; Anura; Pelobatidae
Source: the annotation of a GenBank genome assembly